Molecule: ribosomal RNA, 433 nt
Filed under: uncultured bacterium
Lineage: Bacteria
Description: partial 16S ribosomal RNA
Rfam family: Bacterial small subunit ribosomal RNA
Source: RNAcentral
AACGAACGCUGGCGGCAUGCCUAACACAUGCAAGUCGAACGAUCCCUUCGGGGAUAGUGGCGCACGGGCGCGUAACGCGUGGGAACCUGCCCUUAGGUUCGGAAUAACUCAGAGAAAUUUGAGCUAAUACCGGAUAAUGUCUUCGGACCAAAGAUUUAUCGCCUUUGGAUGGGCCCGCGUUGGAUUAGCUAGUUGGUGGGGUAAAGGCCUACCAAGGCGACGAUCCAUAGCUGGUCUGAGAGGAUGAUCAGCCACACUGGGACUGAGACACGGCCCAGACUCCUACGGGAAGCAGCAGUGGGGAAUAUUGGACAAUGGGCGAAAGCCUGAUCCAGCAAUGCCGCGUGAGUGAUGAAGGCCUUAGGGUUGUAAAGCCCUUUUACCCGGGAUGAUAAUGACAGUACCGGGAGAAUAAGCCCCGGCUAACUCCGUG